UUACGGUCGUAUCACGUUGAAACACCAGCUCCCGUACGAUUACCGAAGUUAAGCAACGUCGAUCCUGAUCACUACUUAGAUGGAUGGCCACUUGGAAAUACCAGGUGCUGUAAG
Molecule: non-coding RNA, 114 nt
Organism: Acanthosepion pharaonis
Lineage: Eukaryota; Metazoa; Mollusca; Cephalopoda; Sepiida; Sepiidae
Source: the annotation of a GenBank genome assembly